RNAcentral lists this ribosomal RNA (794 nucleotides) under uncultured bacterium. RNAcentral's name for it is "bacterial SSU rRNA". It matches the Rfam family "Bacterial small subunit ribosomal RNA", at positions 8 to 796 of the family's 1533-position model. The record is from RNAcentral.
AGAGUUUGAUCAUGGCUCAGAACGAACGCUGGCGGCGUGCUUAACACAUGCAAGUCGAACGCGAAAGUCCUUCGGGAUGAGUAGAGUGGCGCACGGGUGAGUAAUCCAUAGGAACAUGCCUUCAAAUGGGGGGAUAACUGCGGGAAACUGCAGCUAAUACCGCAUGUGAUCGUAAGAUUAAAGAUGGCCUCUAUUUAUAAGCUAUCGUUUGAAGAUUGGCCUAUGUCCCAUUAGCUAGUUGGUAGGGUAAAAGCCUACCAAGGCAACGAUGGGUAGCUGGUCUGAGAGGACGAUCAGCCACACUGGAACUGAGACACGGUCCAGACUCCUACGGGAGGCAGCAGUGGGGAAUUUUGCACAAUGGGGGAAACCCUGAUGCAGCAACGCCGCGUGAGUGAGGAAGGCCUUUGGGUUGUAAAGCUCUUUCGGCUGAGAAGAAGGGUUUUGCAGUGAAUAAUUGCAGAGCUUGACGGUAUCAGAAGAAGAAGCACCUGCUAACUUCGUGCCAGCAGCAGCGGUAAUACGAAGGGUGCGAGCGUUGUUCGGAAUCAUUGGGCGUAAAGGGCGCGUAGGUGGGUUGGUAAGUCAAAUGUGAAAUCCUUGGGCUUAACCUGAGACAUGCAUUUGAAACUGUCGAUCUUGAAUGUUCGAGAGGAUGAUAGAAUUCCAGGUGUAGAAGUGAAAUUCGUAGAUAUCUGGAGGAAUACCCGAGGCGAAGGCGAUCAUCUGGCGAAACAUUGACACUGAGGCGCGAAAGCGUGGGGAUCAAACAGGAUUAGAUACCCUAGUAGUCC